AUUGAACGCUGGCGGCAUGCUUUACACAUGUAAGUCGAACGGCAGCACGGGGGCAACCCUGGUGGCGAGUGGCGAACGGGUGAGUAAUAUAUCGGAACAUGUCCGGAAGUGGGGGAUAACGUAGCGAAAGUUACGCUAAUACCGCAUAUGCCCUGAGGGGGACAGGGGGGGAUCGCAAGACCUCUCGCUUUCGGCGUGGCCGAUAUCAGAUUAGCUAGUUGGUGGGGUAAAGGCCUACCAAGGCAACGAUCUGUAGCUGGUCUGAGAGGACGACCAGCCACACUGGGACUGAGACACGGCCCAGACUCCUACGGGAGGCAGCAGUGGGGAAUUUUGGACAAUGGGGGCAACCCUGAUCCAGCCAUGCCGCGUGAGUGAAGAAGGCCUUCGGGUUGUAAAGCUCUUUCGGACAGAAAGAAAUCGUGCAGAAUAAUACUCUGUAUGGAUGACGGUACUGUAAGAAGAAGCACCGGCUAACUACGUGCCAGCAGCCGCCGUAA
RNAcentral lists this ribosomal RNA (500 nucleotides) under uncultured bacterium. RNAcentral describes it as "partial 16S ribosomal RNA". It matches the Rfam family "Bacterial small subunit ribosomal RNA", at positions 30 to 523 of the family's 1533-position model. The record is from RNAcentral.